UUAUUCUAAUAUUCGGUCCAGAAUUCCUCUCUGUGAACCGUUUCUGUUUAGAAUCUGUGUUCAUAAAUGCUGGGAGUGUGUCAGCUGGUGACUUCAGAGGAAAGGGGAACCACUACACAUGAGGACCUCAUGUUGACCCCAAUAUAAACGAGAAACAAGAGCCCAAGAAGCAGAGGAAGUUAGGAGAUAGUAAGCUGUCCAGAAAUUAGCCAACGACUGUGGAAUGGCUCUAGACUUCUGUAGCAAAUGGAAAUAUGAGGCCAUAAAAAUCAUUCUCUCUCCCUCCAUGUGGAGAAUGAAGACUUUUUGGGACACCUUAAAUCCAGAGAAAAGGAAAGAAGAUACAUACAGCCAGAGCAGAA
This 362-nucleotide long non-coding RNA is filed under the name Homo sapiens (human). RNAcentral describes it as "HSALNT0081107". Lineage: Eukaryota; Metazoa; Chordata; Mammalia; Primates; Hominidae. The record is from RNAcentral.